This 497-nucleotide ribosomal RNA is filed under the name uncultured bacterium. Its description in RNAcentral is "partial 16S ribosomal RNA". It matches the Rfam family "Bacterial small subunit ribosomal RNA", at positions 28 to 507 of the family's 1533-position model. The record is from RNAcentral.
GAUGAACGCUGGCGGCGUGCCUAAUACAUGCAAGUCGAGCGAACAGACGAGGAGCUUGCUCCUCUGACGUUAGCGGCGGACGUGUGUGUCACACGUGGAUAACCUACCUAUAAGACUGGGAUAACUUCGGGAAACCGGAGAUAACACCGGAUAAUAUCUUGAACCGCAGGGUUCAAUGGUGAAAGACGGUUUUGCUGUCACUUAUAGAUGGAUCCGCGCCGCAUUAGCUAGUUGGUAAGGUCACGGCUUACCAAGGCAACGAUGCGUAGCCGACCUGAGAGGGUGGUCGCCCACACUGGAACGGAGACGCGGACCAGACUCCUACGGGAGGCAGCAGUAGGGAAUCGUACGCAAUGGGCGAAAGCCUGACGGAGCAACGCCGCGUGAGUGAUGAAGGUCUUGCGAUCGUAAAACUCUGUUAUUAGUGAAGAACAAAUGUGUAAGUAACUAUGCACUGCUUGACGGUACCUAAUCAGAAAGCCACGGCUAACUACGUG